UAAACACCUGUCUCCUCAUACAGAUUGAGAGCUUGUGAGGCCUGAGAUUUUAUCAUCAUCUUUUCCAGGGUCUGGUGUGCUGCCUGUCCCUGAGGAGAUGCUGGAUGAAUGGAUGGACGCACGAAUGAAGGAAGCUUCAGGGAUCCCCGCCCACCCUUCUGCCUGCACGGGCUCUGGAAGCCACAAGGCCACUUUAUUUGUAUCCAGAAUCCUGCCAGCCAGGUCUCCAUGUUCCAGGUCACAGACCAGAGUACAUUUCUCUAGAGAAUCUGGCCAGCCCAAGAGAAAGACUUAAAGAUAGUGACAUCAGGGCAUCUUCAAGGAAGUGGCCUACUUCUUUCACAAUGAACUUCAUCAAAGAGCCUCAUGCAUGUUCCGGUGCCUUCCAGCAGCCUCUCAGUGCCUCAUUUUAAAUGUCAUCUGAAAACCGAAGACCAUCAGAAGCUUGAGGAAUGUGAUUAACACGAAAAUUAAAGACCAAAGCUAAGAUAGACUUAAAACAAAAGUUAAAGGAAAGAGUAACCAUGCAGGGUAACAGCCCCACCACUAAACAGAAACCGUCAUAAAUAUUCUCUGAGAUAUAAUAGAAGGUAUCAUAUUUAGGGAGAAAAUGUAGGAUACUAUAAAAAUGGAAUAUGCAGGGAAGAAAAAAUAACUCUUAGAAGCUAAAAAUAAGAUAGCAGAAAUAAAAAUACAAUAGAAGUUUCCUCAGAUAAAGUUAAGGAACUCUCCAAGGAGGAAAGCAAAAGACAGAAUGGCAAAUACAAAGGAGAUGGGAAGUCGGGAGAGCCCAGCACAUCCAGUGUAUGAAAGCAAGAACUGCAAGGAAAGAGAAGAGAAAAUGCAGAGGAGGAAAUUAUCAAAGAAAUAAUUCAAGAAAAUUCCCUCAGGCUGACAGAGGCAAAUGUUGAGUUUGAAAAGGCCCAUGGAGUAGCCCACACGGUACUAAAAUCAGACCCUCUCCAGGGCACAUCACCGUGAAAUUUCAGAACAUGGACGACAAAGAAAAGAUUCCGUAAGAUUCUAGGCAGAAAAACAAGGUGAAACAUGAAGAAUCAAGGAGGAGAAUGUCAUCCGAGUUUUCAAAAGCCACCCUAAAAGACAGGAGACAACCAAAAAAUGCCUUUAAAUUCUGAAAAAAAAAUUUAAAACUACAACUCAGAUAUAAUGGUAAGAUAAAUAUAAGGGUAAAAUAAGUAAUUUUUUCUAUAGUUAGUAAUCUU
Molecule: long non-coding RNA, 1223 nt
Filed under: Papio anubis (olive baboon)
Lineage: Eukaryota; Metazoa; Chordata; Mammalia; Primates; Cercopithecidae
Description: lncRNA (ENSPANG00000050048.1)
Source: RNAcentral